Ribosomal RNA from Panthera pardus (leopard), 112 nucleotides. The record is from Ensembl. NCBI's taxonomy places the organism in Eukaryota, Metazoa, Chordata, Mammalia, Carnivora, Felidae.
GACAUUUGGUAGAGACUGUUGAAGUACCUGGUCCCAGCAGGCCCCGGAAGGCAGCCACAUUCGCUGGUGCUGGGGCAAAGUCAUUGGGGGUGAAGCCUGGUGCCAGAUGUAU